Molecule: ribosomal RNA, 135 nt
Filed under: uncultured delta proteobacterium
Lineage: Bacteria; Deltaproteobacteria
Description: partial 16S ribosomal RNA
Rfam family: Bacterial small subunit ribosomal RNA
Source: RNAcentral
UAGGGAAUUUUGCACAAUGGAGGAAACUCUGAUGCAGCGACGCCGCGUGAGUGAUGAAGGACUUCGGUUCGUAAAGCUCUGUCGUAUGGGAAUAAGAAAGUGAAUGUACCAUGCAAGAAAGGAUCGGCUAACUUC